Aphis gossypii (cotton aphid) is the source of this 488-nucleotide long non-coding RNA. RefSeq lists it as uncharacterized. The record is from RefSeq and is a predicted model, not a curated record. The transcript has 3 exons. NCBI's taxonomy places the organism in Eukaryota, Metazoa, Arthropoda, Insecta, Hemiptera, Aphididae.
GCACUAUAUAUAGUGUUGAAAAGCUCUCGGACAUAAACACGCAGUUCAACUGCCUUUAAAAAACCAUACUUGAACAUAAACGAUUGACUGUAUUACAGAGAAAGUUACAGAUAUACAUAUGGCAAUACACCCAGCCGUUAUUUGCACUGAUUUCUUGAAGUUUCCAGUUUCGUUGCUUGCAAGAUUUGGCGAGGCCGGCAAUGAUAACCGUCAUACCUAGUGAACACCGUUGUAUCAUAUGGUUUUGGUCGCGGCGAAUCAACAAUUUAAGUACUAUUUUAACGUUGCAUAAAUGGAGCUAACAAUGUUUCUUGUCGACGUCUCGAGGAAAACAAAUCACAGACCGCAAUAUUAAGAGUAGGUACUCGUAUUACAUAUAAUUAAAUUCAGAAAUCGGAAGCUUUUGACAUGAAAUUUAGGGAGAAAACCGCCAAAUAGUAUACGAUGAUUCUAUUAUACGCGUCUACGCGUCUAUUAUUAUUAUUGCA